UAGCUGGGUUGUUAAGUCUCUUGGGAAAUCUGGCGGCUUAACCGUCAGGCGUCUAAGGGAUACUGGCAAUCUUGGAACCGGGAGAGGUGAGGGGUACUUCGGGGGUAGGAGUGAAAUCCUGUAAUCCUCGAGGGACCACCUGUGGCGAAGGCGCCUCACCAGAACGGCUUCGACAGUGAGGGACGAAAGCUGGGGGAGCAAACCGGAUUAGAUACCCGGGUAGUCCCAGCCGUAAACUAUGCGCGUUAGGUGUAUCGGUGACCACGAGUUACCGAGGUGCCGAAGGGAAACCGUGAAACGUGCCGCCUGGGUAGUACGGUCGCAAGGCUGAAACUUAAAGGAAUUGGCGGGGGAGCACCACAACAGGUGGAGCCUGCGGUUUAAUUGGACUCAACGCCGGGAAGCUCACCGGAUAGGACAGCAGAAUGAUUGCCGGGCUGAAGACCCUGCAUGACUAGCUGAGAGGAGGUGCAUGGCCGUCGUCAGUUCGUACUGUGAAGCAUCCUGUUAAGUCAGGCAACGAGCAAGACCCACGCCAACAGUUGCCAGCAUGGUCUCCGGACUGAUGGGGACACUGUUGGGACCGCCUCUGCUAAAGAGGAGGAAGGAAUGGGCAACGGUAGGUCAGCAUGCCCCGAAUUAUCCGGGCUACACGCGGGCUACAAUGGGCAGGACAAUGGGCAUCGACACCGUGAGGUGGAGGCAAUCUCCUAAACCUGUCCUUAGUUCGGAUUGUGGGCUGAAACUCGCCCACAUGAAGCUGGAAUCUGUAGUAAUCGCGUUUCAAAAUAACGCGGUGAAUUUGUCCCUGCUCCUUGCACACACCGCCCGU
This 832-nucleotide ribosomal RNA is filed under the name uncultured prokaryote. RNAcentral describes it as "bacterial SSU rRNA". It matches the Rfam family "Archaeal small subunit ribosomal RNA", at positions 522 to 1353 of the family's 1478-position model. The record is from RNAcentral.